GAGUGACGCCUGAAGCUGAAGCAAUUAACACAAUGUUACACGACCGAAAGCUGAGGCAAGGGGCCAGUGUGGAGCCAUGGGAGGCUGUCAUCACUCAAUAUUAAUUGAUCCUACUUUUCAUCCAUAAAGCAGGGGCUGAAACAAAUUUUUGGUCACAAAAAUGGCAACUAUUACACUAUUAAGUCUCUAGAUUGGCAAGAAACAGUGGUAAGAAAAGAAACAGUUGGAUCACCAGUCUGAGGGAUAUGGAAGGCAAUCCAGAAAAACCUCAACAUCCUUCUCCCCAUUCCUUGCACACCUUUACAGCAUUAUUCCAGCCUGGGCUAUUAGAAACAGCAUCAGUAACUUUUCUUUCACACACUUCAUCUCGACCAUUUCUCACCAAGCAAGCCAUGAUGGACUGAAGACCGGUGAGCCCAUGCUCAGGGCAUCUUUGAUGCAUCUAUUAAGGCCUUAAAAGUUCAGCCUGUUGGCAUCAGCAGCCCUGAUGAGUCCACUCACCCCCAGGAAGCUCGUUUGAUUGAGGUACCUUUUCCAAGCUGCAGUUUGGUUGGUGGGUCCAAAGAUUAGAUUUGGUUUAGGAUUUCCAGGGCCCCCUGCACCUACCAAACAGCAGACAAGUCUCUAGCCAUGCAAGGUGCAGCAGGCCAAAGGCAAAUAAUGGUAAAUCAUGGCAGAUGCUUCUCCAAGAUAACACACAGACUCUAUUAGGGCUAUACCCAAGCUGGCCUGGUUUCCAGAUAUAGGAGAACAGACACCAGACUAGGACAUUAAAAACUCCAGAAUUUGGUGGGAUGUUUCAGACGCUGUUUCCUACAUUGAGAGACCUUACUAUCUUGUUCACCAUUGCAUGCUCAAUACAGAGCCUGAAAAAGAGUAGAUAAUCAAUAAAUAUUGAAUGGAUCAAUUUUGUUAAGUAACUUUGCCAGACAAGACUGCUUUCUCCAAAAAGAAAAGUCCACCCACAAGCUUGCCAGCUCCCUUGGGAAUAUAUUAUUAUACCUAUCUUGUGUCAAAGCAACAUGCAUUCCUUAUAGUGCCAUGUUGUACUCAUGCUUACAAACUAAUUCUGAGCUUACACUAGGGAUGCCCAAGUGAAAUAAUCCCUUCCCUCUUUUAAGAGGGCCCAAUGAGGCUGUCAAACUAAUGUGUACUCCUCCUGAUAAAUCAUGUGUAUGUACCUGCAAAGUAUGUUUAUGCAACAGAAUAGAAAAACAUCUCAGUGGCUGCUAAGUGUAGCAGGUACUCCUUGCCCAUGUAAUUUUUACUUAUCAGGAGCCCUGACCUGUAAACAAAGAAGAGUAUGCCUGAAACACAGAACUGAGGAAAUGACCUUCUAGACUUAAUGACAGUGGCAUGCAACUUGAGGCCAGAAUCACCUACCUUUUCACACCAGAUUUGCUUUUGAAAAUAUUUCGUAGAUAAAAUUCAACAGGACUCCUGUCUUCUGAAGCAUUGGUGAAAUAUGGUCAAACUAUAAAAUGACAGUGGACCCAGUGAAAUUAGAGAAAGCUUAAAAUUCUUUAACGCAAUAUUGCUAAUAAUAAUUAGUAGGGUGCAUAGAAUAUUAACUUGUUUUCUGUUCCGCUUUAACCAAAUUAGAUAACAAUUAUUACCACUACCUCAAGGCUGCUUUUAUGAAUCCCUGCAGAAAAAUAAUUUGGUUUUGCUUUGACAGAUAACAGUCAUCAGCAAGGAAUUUCAUUUUACUGAAGGCAGGCUUAGUUGCUGAAAUUUACUGCUUGGGUUACACACAUAUGCACAUGCACACACACACACAGACACACACACACACACACACACACACACACACCUGAGCCCAUUUUCAUACAAGACUGAGUAGUGUUGCUUCUUGGUCUGGAUUUAGAGUAGCUGGGAAAACAGCAUGAAGAGUUUUUACAUUCAGAAAGGAAUGCAAAGGAAUGUAAAGAAUGCCUUCCUUCCUUUUAAAUCUAAUCUUAUUACUCCCAUUAGUGAAUAUUUAACAAUAACACUAACGCUAAUAGCAGACUUGGUCGCAACAUCAAAAGCAACAAUACCAAAGAUGAAUAUAACAGCUUUGCUCAGAAAAACUUAAAGCUACGUCACACAUAUUAUCUCAUUUAUCUUUUGAAAAUCUCUUCAAACUGUAAGAGCAUAUUUAUCUACUUUGAGACAUGUUUUAUGGGAACCGAUUUCCUUAUUACUCUUUGCAUCUUCUGUUUAAAAACAUGGUCUGUUUUUAACACACCUCCCAGCCAGAACCUCAACUCAUAACUCAUGCCAUUGACUUCCUUGCAUGAAUCUCAAAAACAAAAACCAACUCUUAGCAAUUAUAGAAACCGGAAACAAAAAUGAAACACAAGUAGGAAGUUAAAUAACUUCACUGCAUCCAACAAUUGCUUUUGCCUAAACUGAAAUUAAAUAAAUAGACACACACACACUCUCCAUAAAAACUCUGCUACACAAUUUAUUAAUGAACAGUGAAAAGAAACAGAAGCCAAAAGUGGGUCAGGAGAAACUGUUUAAUCUAAUAGUCUGGAAAUUAUAUUGGAAGAAACAGAUGGUUUCACAGAAGUCAAUGUUACCUAGAGGAGCAAGGAGCGAUUUUCUAGGAAAGAAAAAUGUUUCCCUACCCUACCGCAUAUACUAUUUUCAGCAAAGGAGGAGUCUAUAUUCAGCACAGGAAAAGUCCCGAUAUUGGCACACUUACAAAACUGGGACUAAGUGGCAGCCAUCCACACAUACUCAAGCUCAGACUUGGCCUUCUGAAUCUGAGCUGGAGGUCAAACCUAGCCCUAUUUUAAAGCUGGGAACAACAGAAGCCAGCACUACGCUCCAGUGGGUUAUUGACCAACACUCAUGUUCUUGAUACCUAAGGAAAGUGGUCACCAACAGGUCAUGGGCAGCAUGACCCUUAAUGUGGCUCCGGACCCUCAGAGACUCUGUGGGUCCCAGGCAGCAGCAAGACACACAGGGCACAUGGAGUCGGAAGACCUCAGUGCAAGCUGCGGCUCUGUAAGACAAGACCACCCUAUUUGUCAGGCUCCCUAUUUGUCAAGCAGAACAAAAAACAUCUCUAGACUUGUAAGGAUGAAUUGAGCUAAAGUAUAUCAAGCUGCAUUGCAAACAACACAGCAUAAGACAAUGCUCAACCACUCAGUCUAUUCUCAUCCCCACCAUCUAUGAUUCACCAAAACAUGCAGCCAAAUUCUCCCUAGAGUAGGGCUCAAUCAAAAAGAGAACAUCAAAGCUGGGGUCCUUGAAUGACCGAUCACAGCCAACCAAAUCUCAAAGCCAUACCCGAGGGACCUUUGGUAUUGUCCACAAUCCUUAAGAGUAAAGAAUUGAAGAAGGCAAGUCUGAGUUCUGAUUCUAGCUCAUCACACAUUCGUUGCAGAACCACGGGCACAUUAGGUAACCUCACUGAGCCUUGUUUCCUCAUUUGUAAAAUCAAGAUCUCUAUAAGGAUUAAUUGACACUGAGCACCAUGCAUGCCACAUUAGCUGUUAUUACUGUUGCUACUGUUAACAAUGAUUAUAUCAAUACCAGCAGCAUCCAAGUCCACUGCUCCAUCACAAUACAUCAGCUGCAGGGAUCCCCAGAGAGGCCAGGGAGGGCGCAGGGGCAGAACAGCCUUUCUGCCAUGAAGAUGAAGGACUGUACGAGGAGGAGCCUCCCACCGGGGUGAGCUUAAAUUUGCGGAAAUAUAGAAAGUCCCGCCCCACCCAACUCUGACCCUGGGGCCUCUUGCAGCAGUAUCAAGGGCUGCUUAGAGCCUCCCUUCUAGCCAUCCACCUUCCCUCCUCCAGGGCUUCUGACAUUUUGCUCCAAGGUUUGUUUGUUUUUACUUAGAAAAAAUGCCAUCAACGUCAGUGACUGUAUGCUCAGUUCUGCUGAAGAGCUGCAAAUGUUAUAGAUGGAUUUGUUAUGUUCUAAAACUGCAGGUAUCAUAUUUACAGAGAGGUAAUAAAUACCUCAUUAAGGAAAGGCAAAACAAACACUUCAGAGUACUUGAGGCUCUAUCUAAAGGAACCCCAUGGUGAAACCCACUUUAAACCAAGAAUCCUCCUGUAAUGCAAAUAAGUACUCAUCCCCUCCAAUUCUCUUCCUUCCUUUCCCUAGUUUACGAUGUUGGGCUCCCCUGUAAAGCACCCCCCUCCCUCCCAGAACCUGCAGGCACCAGCAGCCAGGUAUCCAUCUUAGCCAGCUCCCUGAGACAUCACAGACUUAAGCUGAGUCUGUUGACACCUGUUCUGUAGUGUCAACUGUAGGUGGGGUGGGGACACAGAACCAAACCACAACACCAAGACUGACUUAAUGGGUCUGGUGUGCAGCUGGGCAUGGGAACUUUUUAAACAAACUUUGAGAAUCAUUGUGUCACCUUGUAUCCUUAUUUUUAUUCCUCUGGCCUGUCCUCCCAAAUAUAUUCCAAGUCACCUAAAGAAAGUAAGUUAUGAUUUGGUCAUAAUACAUAGGUAGGUAAGUAAACAUUUGUUGAAUUUAUUUUAUACUCAAAAGAUCACACUAGUAUAAUUUUUUUCUGCCAUCUCCACUCAAAUUAAAAAAAAAAAAAUUGUACUCCACAUGAUCUUUUAAGGUUCUCCAAGUGUGGUCCCCAGACCAGCAGCAUCAGCAUUGCCUGGGAACUUAUUACAAAAGCAGAUUCUCAGGCCUUGCCCUAGACUUACUAAAUCAGAAACUUUGAGGAUGGGGCCCAGGACUCUGCAUUUUGACAAGCCCUCCAGGCUAUUCUGAUUCACUCUCAAGGUUGGGAACCACUCCUUUAAGCUAAUGAUUAGUUUUAAAGGCUUUUCUGGAGAUUGACAUUAUUUUAGAUGAGGCCAUGGAACUGGCCUAUCAUCUCCCUUCACGAAAUCAGAAAGGCUAAUAGUGCCAGGAUUUAUAACUAGCCAUUAGGCACCCAAACACUUAGCUCCCCACAACUUUCAUUUCUUAAUUUUCAGAAUAUAAUGUAAAUCAUGAUCCAUUUUUUUAGAUUAGUCUUUUUCCCAGCCGUGAAGGGAGACUGAAAGGACAACUCUUAUAAACAAUGAUUAUCAGCUGCUUCUGUAGUUGUGUGUCAGACUAACACCCCCCAGACUGGAGGUCAAAGAAAAACUGGACCUGUAGAAAACUUAUUGCGCAAUGUGCAUGUCUUGAAUAAGGAAUGUCAUCCUGUUAUUAUCAUGACCACCCAAAAUUUAUAUACAGAGUUUAAGGCUAGAAUGCUGGUGGCCGAAAGCCAAGUAUGAGCCUGGUCAGCACAAUGUCGAAGAAAACAUCCCGAAAAUCAGUUCUUAAAGUCCUCUUAGACAGGAAAACCACAAAGAUGGGAAUUUGUAAAAUGCAGCAGUGUGGAAUGAUCCUCGAAAUUGUAAUGCGUGUCAUGGGAAUGUCUUAUAAGGAGGAACUUAAGAAUAGAAAUAGAAGAAGACAAGCUUGAGAAAGGGGCAAAGGUGAAUAAAUUACCUUUGAACUUUUUCAUGUUGAAGCCCUUCAAUUUAGUUUAAACCCACCACAGCACACAGAAGAUUCAGGAACCAAGAAAGCCAAAGUGAAGGCUUUGCUGUUCAGUAAAACUACAAGAUAUCCUGCAAAGCUCCAAGUGCUUGGUGGCCUAGCAAGUUUCUUUUAUAACUGCUCCAAACUCAAUAUCUCAAUUUAUUCUUCUAUACCGUGGGGGUGACUCCACCUACCUCAUAAGAUUGUUGUUAGUUUGUUUAGAAGAGAUUAAUACAACAGUAGGUGCUGAAUAAAAAGUAACUCUGAUUAUUACCUAUAAAAAAUGAAGCUCUCUACUCUCAUACAUUGUUGUUGGAAAUGUAAAAUAGAACAAACACUUUGGAAAACAGUUGAGCAGUAUCUUAUAAAGGUAAACAUGUAUUUAGCAUAAACCCAACAAUUCCACUCCUACAUAUUUCCCCAACAGAAGUGAAAACAUCCACACAAAACACUUGUUCGUGGAUAUUCAGCUUUUUUUUUUCAUAAUAGCCCCAAACUGGAAAUUUCCCAAAUGUUCAACAGGAAAAUGAUUCAACAAAUUGUGGCACAUGCAAACAAGGGAAUAUUACUCAGAAACAAAAAGGAAUUAACUCUUGAUACACACAACAGCAAGGACUCAAUACAUACAACAGCACAGACUCCAUGCAUAAAACAGCACGGACUCCAUACAUACAACAGCAAGGACUCCAUAUAUACAACAGCAAGGACUCCAUAUAUACAACAACAAGGACUCCAUACAUACAACAGCAAGGACUCCAUACAUACAACAUCAAGGACUCCAUACAUACAACAGCACAGAUUGAACUGCAAAGGCAUUAGGCUGAGUUAAAGAAGCCAGAGGCACACACACGGUAUGAUUCUAUGUACAUGUUAUUCAAAAAGAAGCAAAACUAUUCAACAGUGACACAGCAGAUCAGCAGUUGGCUGGGUCAGGGCAGGCACCUGAGGGAACUUUCUGGGGUGAUGGAAAAGUUUUAUAUCUUGAGUGUGGUGAUAGUUCUACAAAUGUUUACACCUAUCAGAACUCAUCACCCAGGCACUUCAUAUGGGUGUGUUUCAUGGUAUUUAAAUUAUAGUUCAAUAAAGUUAUUCAAACAAAUAUCACUGCGACACCCUUCAGUGGACUGGCAGUUGGCGCUGAGCUCUCUUUCAUGUGCGGUGGAUAAGCUUUGAGUGGAAAGAGCUGAAACACUGGAUUCUGGGCCCACUUACUACUUGUUACCUGCCAAAUCAAUUUCUUCAUCUGAAAAGAAAAGAAAAAUACCUUCCUUUCAACUUUCGGGGCUACUUGAAUCAUCAAGUGAGAGCAUUAUUGGAGAAUGCUUUAAAGCAGACUCAGCAUCUGGCUGUGGGGAACUCGUGUCAUCCCAGGUGCCCAGCACACCCACCUCCUCCUCUGCUUUCUGCUUUCCUUCACCUGCCAGGCAGUCCCUAGGACCACCUCCUAAUUUCUCUUUCCCCCACUCCUUUUCUUGUCCCCACUGCCACUGUCUUGACUGAGGCCACCUUUACCUUGCCUGAUGACUGCAAUGGUUUCUAUAUGUUUCCCCUCCCCCAGCAUUGCCCCUUCCAUCCUUCCUCAUUCUAAAUCCAGAGAAAUCUUUCCAGAAUGAGAAUCUGAUGUCACCUGCACCCCCUCCAUCUUAAAAACCUUCAGUGCUUUUGAGCUUAGACUCCUCAGCCCAACACCUAAGACCUUUCAUCAUCUGGCCCUACUUUCUUCUCCCCCAAAGAACAUGCUCCAACCAAACUGAACUGCCUGUGGCUCCCCACAUAUGCAGGGUUAUCUCCGUGUUUUGAUCCCUCCCACAAGUUGUCUCCUCUUCGUGAAAAGAUUAUCUGCUUCCACCCUCUUCUCCCAUCUUUUGCCUGACUAACAGCCAACUGUCCCUGGCACCAAAUUUGCAUAAAACUCCAAAUCCACCUGAGGAUUUCAAGUCUUCCUUGACACACAGACUCCUCCAUCAAGCCUGGGCUACCACCAUCCCAUCAGUCUCCAUUACUCUAGCAUCAAGUACUGGUUCUUCAUCUGUGAGAGAGUUUGAACCAAAGUAAAAUACCAAUCUAUAGUCUGGUGCUAUGGACUGAAUUGUGUCCUUCCAAAUCAUCCUAACCCCUAAAGUGACUACAUUUGGAGUAAGAAAGUAAUGAAGGUCAAAUCAUGUCAUAAGGAUGGGGCACAACGUGAUGGGACUAGUGUCCUUACAAGAUGAGACACAAGAGAGCUUGUGCUCGCUCCUGUUCUCUCUUUCUCACUCUCUCUGUCUUCCCCCCAACCCCCGUCUUCCCUCCCUCCCUCUCUGCCAUGUGAGGACACAAUGAGAAGGCUGUUGUCUGCAAGCCAAGAGAGCCCUGACCAGAACCCAACCAUGCUGGCACCUUGAUAUCCAGGGUAGCAACUUCCAGCCUCCAGAACUAUGAGAAAAUAAGCAUCUGUUGUUUAAGCCAGUCUGUGGUAUUUUAUUAUGGCAGCCCGAGCUGACUAAGGCAACCCAGGAACACCUCCUGUCUAGUUCACCCAAAUGUCCCCAAGACAUGGCAUCUGGCCCAAGGUUGACCUUCAAUAAAUAUCUGUGGAAUCAAUGAAUCCUCUUAUGGUCACUAUGAACCUAAGGGCAAAUCUUCAUGAUAAAAUGGUACAUUGUUAUGACUUAGAGACACAGAUUCUGACCUGAAACCGAAUUUUCCUCUCUUGAAAACAGACUAGAACAGUGUUAAGCUAUAGAACUUUCGGCAAUGAUAAAAACGUUCUCUGUCUGCGCUGUCCAAUAGCAGUCACCAGCCACACAUGGCUACUGAGCACUUGAAAUGUGGCUAGUGUGACAGAAGAACAGAAUAUUCUAUUUUACUUUGUUUUAAUUAAUGAUUACAUAUAAAUACCAUGUGGCUGGUGGCUCCUGUACUAGUCAGUGCAGGACUGGACCAUUCAAGGAAGGCCCAAGCCCUGGGCACCGGCCUCAUUACACAGAUUGCUCUCCGUGCCAACUGUCCCUGGCACCAAAUGUGCAUAAAACAUAGUCGAUUUUCACAGAGCUGACAUAGGUAGCUUUCAAGUGGUGUUAGAGUGGCCUGGCACAGAGAGGCUGGCAAAACGCUCACAUAAAAGGCAUAACGGGGUACCGUUUUGCAGAAAUUGUGAUGCUUUAUGGGCCUCCAUCUGCGAUGAAACCCAUCAAAGGGCAGGUUCAUCCCUCGGUGACCAGAGUUAAUUGAAAAUUUAAGACCCAAUCAAAUCACCCAGAAUUGAGAUUUUUGGCAGCUUAUGUGCUUCACUGUAAGAUUCCUGCUGCUUUCGCCUCUGCCAGCCCCACAAGUGAGGCUGCAUGUUCCAGUAUCUUCAACAACAGCACUGAGCUUUAAGCAAGGGACAAACUCAACAGUGUUAACUGUGAUCCUGACUUUUUUUUUUUUUUUUUUUGAGACGGAGUUUCACUCUUGUUGCCCAGGCUGGAGUGCAAUGGUGCGAUCUCAGCUCACCGCAACCUCUACCUCCCAGGUUCAAGCAAUUCUGCCUCAGCGUCCCGAGUAGCUGGGAUUAUAGGCAUGUGCCACCAUGUCUGGCUAACUUUGUAUUUUUAGUAGAGAUGGGGUUUCUCCAUGUUGGUCAGGCUGGUCUCGAACUCCUGACCUCAGGUGAUCCCCCUGCCUCGGCCUUCCAAAGUGUUGGGAUUACAGGCGUGAGCCACUGCACCCAGCUUAUCCUCACUUUUUGGAAAAUGCACAUGGCACCCUUCCUACCUAAGCCAUCAGGUGGACAUGGGCCAAUACCUCCCUGACUUGUAUUUGCCUAAGAGUCAAAUAAGCAUCGUCUCCAUGAAAAAUAAGUGUAUAGAGUGUCAUUUAAAAAUCUGCUAUGGUUAAAACCUUAUGGAAGAGGAAUCUUCUUAUACCAUUCUACAUGAUAAUAAGUUUUCUAACAACAACAUUCCAGUUGGUGUUAAUGCCUAUUUGUGUCGCAUCUUGCAGUCUGGCAUCACAAGAGCUUUGAUGCCCAAGAUUCUAGAAUUCUAUAUUCGAAUUCUUCCCCCAACCACUUCCUAGCACUGCCUCUUUGGGCAAGUUACUUAACCUCGCUGAGUAUCCAUUUCCUUGUCUGCAAAAAGAAAUGAGUGUAUCCACCUACCUUACUGGGUUACUGCAAACAUAAAAUGACAUAAGAAGCCACACAAAGAUGAAUGUUCAUAGCAACUUAACCUGUGAUAGCCAAAACCUGGAAAUGACCCAGAUGUUUAUCAACCAGUGAAUGGAAAAACAAACUGUGGUACAAUCAAACAACAGAAUACUACUCAGCAGUAAAACAGAAAACACACCAAACAACAUAAAUCAAUCUUAAAUGAGUAAGUUGAGUGAAUGAGAAGAGCUAGGUUUUGAAAAAGAGUACGUACUAUUUGAUUCCAUUUAUAUAACAUCCUGGGAAAUAAAAUCAGUGAUGGAGGCCGGGUGAGGUGGCUCACACCUGUAAUCCCGGCACUUUGGGAAGCUGAGGCAGGCAGAUCACCUGAGAUCAGGAGUUCGAGACCAGCCUGGCCAACAUGGCAAAAGCCUGUGUCUACUAAAAAUAAAAAAAUUAGCUGGGCAUGGUGGCGGGCACCUGUAAUCCCAACUACUCGGCAGGCUGAGGCACAAGAAUUAUUUGAACCCAGGAGGUGAAGAUUGCAGUGAGCCGAGAUUGCACCACCACACUCCAGCCUGGGCAACAGAGUGAGACUUCGCUUCAAAAAAAAAUCAGUGAUGGAGAGGAGAUUAGUGGUUGUCUGGGGUUGGAGGGAUAACAAAGGGGCAUGAGGAAACUUCUGGGGCAAUGGAAAUGUUCUGCAUCUUGAUGUGAUGA
This is a long non-coding RNA of Homo sapiens (human), 10315 nucleotides long. RefSeq lists it as uncharacterized. The record is from RefSeq and is a predicted model, not a curated record. Lineage: Eukaryota; Metazoa; Chordata; Mammalia; Primates; Hominidae. The transcript is spliced from 3 exons.